This 222-nucleotide ribosomal RNA is filed under the name uncultured bacterium. RNAcentral describes it as "partial 16S ribosomal RNA". It matches the Rfam family "Bacterial small subunit ribosomal RNA", at positions 524 to 748 of the family's 1533-position model. The record is from RNAcentral.
UACGAAGGGGGCUAGCGUUGUUCGGAUUUACUGGGCGUAAAGCGCACGUAGGCGGAUCGAUCAGUCAGGGGUGAAAUCCCAGAGCUCAACUCUGGAACUGCCUUUGAUACUGUCGAUCUGGAGUAUGGAAGAGGUGAGUGGAAUUCGAGUGUAGAGUGAAAUUCGUAGAUAUUCGGAGGAACACCAGUGGCGAAGGCGGCUCACUGGUCAUUACUGACGCUG